UACGGGGGGGGCAAGCGUUGUUCGGAAUUACUGGGCGUAAAGGGCUCGUAGGUGGCCAACUCAGUCAGACGUGAAAUCCCUCGGCUUAACCGGGGAACUGCGUCUGAUACUGGAUGGCUUGAGUGCGGGAGAGGAUGGUGGAAUUCCCAGUGUAGAGGUGAAAUUCGUAGAUAUUGGGAAGAACACCGGUGGCGAAGGCGGCCAUCUGGACCGCAACUGACGCUGAGGCGCGAAAGCGUGGGGAGCAAACAGG
RNAcentral lists this ribosomal RNA (253 nucleotides) under uncultured bacterium. RNAcentral describes it as "partial 16S ribosomal RNA". It matches the Rfam family "Bacterial small subunit ribosomal RNA", at positions 524 to 776 of the family's 1533-position model. The record is from RNAcentral.